GUGGGCAACCUGCUCCUAUUAUCCUAUAUUUAUGAGACCGUCGUCUGCCACGAGAUAACCGUUGGAGCGAGGUGGUGAGGAGAUAACCGUUGGAGCGAGGUGGUGAGGCGAAAACCCUAGAUAGCGUCCAGUCCUCCUUCUCUGCCACCGCCAUUGUUGCCAGAGCCUGCGAUCUCCCUUGCCGUUUCGGCGGUAUCACCUCGAGACCACGCCGUGUCCUCCACUUCGCUUCAAGCCCUUUUUGCUUCUCGCACAAUCGGGGAUCAGAGUCCCCCAAGCACGAGGGGAGCUGAUCAAGUGUUGAGGCGCCUUCUACAAACACCACAAGAAUGAGUUCUUUAAAGAUCGGCACUAUUUGGAUAAAGAUUGGGGUCACCACUUCUCGCUGAGUGCAACUAACUCGUCGAGAUCUUUUCUUGGUAACUUUAGAUGCCUGGCUCUUAGGAGUUUAGGUUUUUUCUCGCUUUAUCCGGCCAUCCGGUGAAAUCGGCCAAGAUUCUGUUCGUCCUAAGGUUGUAUUAGAAGUAAGUUCGAAUUUAAAUUCUUGUUUGAUCGUGGACAUCUUGAUCUUGUGUUCAUGUAACUAACUCGUCGAGAUCUUUUCUUGGUAACUCUAGAUGCCUGGCUUUUAAGAGUUUAGGUUUUUUCUCGCUUUAUCCAGCCAUCCGGCGAAAUCGGCCAAAGUUCUCCUCCUCGUAGGGUUGUAUUAGAAGUAAUUCGAAUUUAAAUUCUUGUUUGAUUGUGGGCAUCUUGGUCUUGUGUUCAUUUCCAAGAUUCCAUUGUGCUCA
Phoenix dactylifera (date palm) is the source of this 788-nucleotide non-coding RNA. NCBI's taxonomy places the organism in Eukaryota, Viridiplantae, Streptophyta, Magnoliopsida, Arecales, Arecaceae. The record is from RefSeq and is a predicted model, not a curated record.